RNAcentral lists this ribosomal RNA (241 nucleotides) under uncultured bacterium. RNAcentral describes it as "partial small subunit ribosomal RNA". It matches the Rfam family "Bacterial small subunit ribosomal RNA", at positions 26 to 286 of the family's 1533-position model. The record is from RNAcentral.
AGAAUCAACGCUGGCGGCGUGCCUAACACAUGCAAGUCGAACGAGAAAGUGGAGCAAUCCAUGAGUAAAGUGGCGACCGGGUGAGUAACACGUGACUAACCUACCUUUCAGUGGGGAAUAACCUCGGGAAACCGGGCUAAUACCCCAUAAUGUCUUCGGACCAAAGGAGCAAUUCGCUGAAAGAGGGGGUCGCGGCGAUUAGCUAGUUGGCGGGUAACGCCCACAAGGCAAUGAUCGGUAG